RNAcentral lists this ribosomal RNA (412 nucleotides) under uncultured bacterium. RNAcentral's name for it is "bacterial SSU rRNA". It matches the Rfam family "Bacterial small subunit ribosomal RNA", at positions 8 to 429 of the family's 1533-position model. The record is from RNAcentral.
AGAGUUUGAUCCUGGCUCAGAAUCAACGCUGGCGGCGCGCCUAACACAUGCAAGUCGAACGGGGUAGCAAUACCCAGUGGCAGACGGGUGAGUAACACGUGGUCAACCUACCUUCGCGUGGGGGAUAACUAGCCGAAAGGUUAGCUAAUACCGCAUACGAUCGCUUUGAGGCAUCUCGAGGCGAUGAAAGGAGCAAUCCGCACGAAGAGGGGACUGCGUCCCAUUAGUUAGUUGGUGGGGUAACGGCCUACCAAGACUCCGAUGGGUAGCUGGCUUGAGAGAGCGACCAGCCACACUGGAACUGAGACACGGUCCAGACUCCUACGGGAGGCAGCAGUGAGGAAUUUUCCGCAAUGGGCGAAAGCCUGACGGAGCGACGCCGCGUGUGGGAAGAAGGCCUUCGGGUCGUAAA